Molecule: long non-coding RNA, 610 nt
Filed under: Dasypus novemcinctus (nine-banded armadillo)
Lineage: Eukaryota; Metazoa; Chordata; Mammalia; Cingulata; Dasypodidae
Description: lncRNA (ENSDNOG00000050031.1)
Source: RNAcentral
CGGUAAACCGUUGAGCAGAAGCAGUUUAAAACGAAGGCUGUUUUGCAGGAUUUUAAAAGCAUUGUUUAGCAAUUUUUUUUAAAAAGGAAGAAAACAGAAAAAUGUGUCUCCUUGAUCGUAGCACUGUAAUAGUGAUGGGAAAGAGUGGUAAAAAUACUGCAUAAACCCGGGCGGAUUUUCACCGGCACACACUAUCUGUGAUAGCACGCUGCCUGCCUUCCGGAUGACAGUUGUAGGACAGUGAUUCAGCACAAACGAGGUAAUGAGGUCAGUCCCCCAGUACACUCUGUGAUUUAACGCUGCCUGCAAAAUAGCAAGAUACAAGGAGCUGGGCAACCAUAACACACCAAAACACAAAUCACUGGCAACGACCUACGGAACAUUCAAAGGUCUUCCAUCCUCAUAUUUUUCUAACCUCCAGUAAUCUCUGUGACAUUGGCUUUGCCUUUCCAUUUCCUUCCACAAGACAUAUUUGCAAGGGAGCAGCAGAAUCAGGCAGGUCUGAAAUAUUUGGCCUCUUGGAUUCACUGGGAUCAUUCUACUUACUAUAACAGGUAGGGGGACCUAAAUAAGGAAUUCCUUAGAUUCCUGAAGAGGACGUCACAAACUG